AGGGCAGAAGAUUAGUUUAGUAUCUCCCAGUGUGAGGUCCCUGUUAGGCCGGUUCACAUCUGAUGGAGCCCCUUCACAACCUCAGCUGACUGCCUUCAAAGGAGGGUCCAUCUUGUUCCAAGAACGCUCCUUUCUGUGCCCCAGCCCUUCCUGGGCUUGAAUAUGCAAAGAUGGAUGAAAUUGAGGUUCAGAGAGGUUAGGUAACUCUCCUGUGAUCACACAGCUGAUACUUCUCCCAGAGCUAGGCCAUCUGGAAGAAGGACUCUUGAAUUGAACUACUGCACCAUUUUGCCUCUUAAGGAAGAGAGAUGUAAAAAGGCAGAUGAAGAAAAGAGCCAGGACGAGGCUGGAGAACUGCGGGAGGUAAGGGCCCCAAGAAAACUUCACAAGGGUGGGCUGACCGAAGAACUUUUAAGAACAGGAUUGUCCAAUGUCCAUUCGAAGUUGUUUUCAUUGUCGCACUUGAAACCACCCCUGUGACUUCCCUAAAUCUCCCUCUGCCUGUCCUGCACACAAAUACCUCUGUGGUGGGUUUCUGGUGGAAACAGCAGAAGGUGCUGGCUGCAUUCCACAUCUCAGCCAGAGCUAUGUAAAAACAAAACAGCAGGCCUGGGUCAGUGGCCCAACACAGACACUAAAUGAAUUUAGCAGAAGGCACAGCUCUGAUGCAGAGGAGAGUGUGAAAAUGCAAACCAUUGCAGAACCAUCCAAAGUUUUGGGGGUAUCUUUGUAUUUCCACAGGGUGUGGAAUAUGGAUUUGAACGGAUAUGUUUGAAAUCGUAAGGGAUGGGAGGCCCCCCACUGACAAAUGGGUUACAUACGGAUAGCUAACUGAGGCUUAGAAAGCCCCCAUGCCCUGAAAAUAAAUAUCAGUUCCCCCUCUGCAUCCCCUGCUGCUCUAACCUUGGGCUGGGGUUCAAAGAUUAAGACUCCAGUUUGUGUUUGGCAUGGGGUGGGCUGAUGACAUAUAUGAGAGAGAGACUGGGGAGGGGCUCAGAGUCCUUGGGGCCCAGUCUCUGACCCAGAGCAUAAACCCUGCUGCCAGAACUAGGUGUGAGGACAGAUGCACACGAACUUCUAAGGGACAGUGGGCUGGCAUUGCUGCCUGAGGUGGGAAGGGUCCAAGGACCUGGCCUGUGGCUAUGUCUGCAGACAGGCCUCAACUGGCUCCUGCUAUAAGGAGAGGAGAAGAGAGGGCAGGGAGCCAGGCAGAACUUGGCGAGGGACUCCGGAGAGGUAAUGAGACCAGGCUGGUAAACUCUGAUGAGGAGAAAGUCUGGAAUGCUGGGCCUGGGUGGGAUGGCAGUGCUGGCCUGGGCGCGGGGGUGAGGGGGCUGCCUCAGAGGCGGCCCUGAACAGUAGCCAAAGCUGGAGGAGGGGGAUGGCAGGAAGCAGGGAGGUAAAUUUGUCCCGCUGCCCACCUGGGCAGACUCAGGCCAUUAGGUUUCCCAGAGCAGCUGAGGGAUGCAUCUUGUCAGCUGCCAGAGUGGGGCGUGGCCCAGGGGAUGGCCAGGACCCGGCAGCUGCAGGCUCUUAGGCAAGUUCCUGCAGCUUUUCCUCGCUCUUCUAAAUGCUGGCUUCUCCAAGCCUCCCUUCUCCUUGCUGCCUCUUCUCAUCCUCUCUGCUUUCACUCCAAGGGUUGCAGCAGCCCCUCCGCCUGAUGACUUCCAGAUUGCCACCCCGACCUUGUAGCCAUCACCCUCGGGAUGGCCACAGACCCCUCAGAUUCAGAGGCCCCCAGCUCUGCUCCUCUCUGCAGCCCGAGGCACGAGGAGCUAGGGGAGGCUGGUCUCCUGUCUUUACCCCACUGCUUGUCUUCCCCCCACCAAGAAGAGAGCUAGACCUCAGGGGUAGGGUCAGACCAGUGGGUGGGCGCCGGGCAGAAUGUGAUCCCACACUUGCUGAGAGUCUCGUUCUGGGUAAGACUUGGUGGUUUUAAAACUCAGGCUCAGAUUUGACUCCAAACUUUUUUCUUCCUCCACGAGGGGCAUGGAGUCUGCCGGCGGCCCUCUCUGUGGUAAUACUGCGCUGUGCAGUGACCUCUGGACAAAGAUUCCUAUCAAGACCUCCCCCCGUGCUGUUACCCCUCCCUGACCAACUGCGUCUUCGCAGGAACCCAGAAGUCCAGGAGUCAUCCCAGCCGUCUCCCUCAUCUUUUCCCUGCCCCACGACGUCUCCUUAGUUGUCAGACCCACUUCUCUGCUCCCAGUCCUGUGGGGCCCCAUCCUCUCUCCCUGGACAUCGGCACUCCCCUCACUGGUUUCCCUGCCCCAGUUCCUUCCACCAAUGGAGCAACCUUUCUAAAACUCCCAAAACUUUAGUCUUAGUUAUAUCCCUCCCCCAACAUCCUCUGAUGGCUCCCUAGUACCUGAAGAAUAUUCCAGCUCCUUUUUCCCGCAUUCUAGGCCUCUCAGUUUGAACCCCAGCCUCAUCUCUAGCACUUGCACCCACUGCUUAGACCCCCAUGGCAAAUAGAUUUCAUCUACUUUGCAGCUGACAAUUGGUCAUGACUGGCCCCCAGCACAGUGUUGAGGGCUGUGAGGUUGAAUCACUGGGAAGGAGAGUGCUGGAAUCAACUAGUGAUGCCUGCCAUGGGCCCAGGAGUGGCAGAGCUGCA
This is a long non-coding RNA of Equus caballus (horse), 2617 nucleotides long. NCBI's taxonomy places the organism in Eukaryota, Metazoa, Chordata, Mammalia, Perissodactyla, Equidae. The record is from Ensembl.